This 410-nucleotide long non-coding RNA is filed under the name Panax ginseng (ginseng). RNAcentral describes it as "long non-coding RNA (PGIN_LNC005329)". The record is from RNAcentral. Lineage: Eukaryota; Viridiplantae; Streptophyta; Magnoliopsida; Apiales; Araliaceae.
UUGGCUCAUGCACUCGAAUCAAUCAAUAGUUCACAAUGUGGAACUGGUGCAAGUGUAGUCUCUGGGAAGAUGAGUUGCAAUAAAGACCAUAUGUACAAUGAACCAAAUUAAGUGAGGGCAAAAAGUUGUGGCAAAAGACUUAAAGGAGGGAAAGAAAGGGCAUUAGGAAAGGCAAAGAACUCAAAAGGUAAACGUUGUCAUGGUUGUAGGAAAGUUGGACAAUCACAUGACAAAAGGAAUUGUCCAAUAGUUGCACAUCGAUAAGUAAUAUUUAAGUAAUAGUAAACAAAUUUAGAUAUCUCAAUCUUUAAAUGAUGUGUUAUUUUGGCUUUUAGGUAGAGAUUCUCCCAACAAUGAAGGUGCAACAUCAUCUUCAAGUUCAGAGGAUGAUAGUCAUACAAUCCAAGGUU